AGGGUUUGAUUUCGGAGAUUGUCCCUUUUGUUGACGAUGCGCUCCUGGCCUUAACUGGUCGGGUCGUGCCUCCGAUGCUAUUACUUUGAAGAAAUUAGAGUACUCAAAGGAAGAUUACGCUCUGGAUACAUUAGCAUUGGAUAACAUUAUAGGAUUUGGGUCUUAUUAUGUUGGCCUUCGGGAUUGGAGUAAUGAUUAACAGUUACAAUCGGAGACAAUCACAUUUCAUAGUUAGAGAUGAAAUUCUUGGAUUUAUGAAAGAUGAACAACUGCAAAAGCAUUUGCCAAGGAUGUUUUCAUUAAUCAAGAAUGAAAGUUGGGGGCUCGAAGACGAUUAGAUAUCAUCCUAGUCUCAACCAUAAACGAUGCCGACUAGGGAUCGAUGGGUGUUGCUUAUAGGACUCCGCUGGCACCUUAUGAGAAAUCAAAGUUUUUGGGUUUCAGGGGGAGUAUGGUCACAAGGCUGAAUCUUAAAGGAAUUGAUGGAAGACCACCACCAAGAGUGGAGCCUACAGCUU
RNAcentral lists this long non-coding RNA (518 nucleotides) under Olea europaea subsp. europaea. It matches the Rfam family "Eukaryotic small subunit ribosomal RNA", at positions 668 to 1191 of the family's 1831-position model. The record is from RNAcentral. Lineage: Eukaryota; Viridiplantae; Streptophyta; Magnoliopsida; Lamiales; Oleaceae.